GGGUUGUGAGGUUAAGCGACUAAGCGUACACGGUGGAUGCCCUGGCAGUCAGAGGCGAUGAAGGGCGUGCUAAUCUGCGAUAAGCGCCGGUAAGGUGAUAUGAACCGUUAUAACCGGCGAUACCCGAAUGGGGAAACCCAGUGUGACUCGUCACACUAUCAUUAACUGAAUCCAUAGGUUAAUGAGGCGAACCGGGGGAACUGAAACAUCUAAGUACCCCGAGGAAAAGAAAUCAACCGAGAUUCCCCCAGUAGCGGCGAGCGAACGGGGAGGAGCCCAGAGCCUGAAUCAGCAUGUGUGUU
This 302-nucleotide ribosomal RNA is filed under the name Salmonella enterica. RNAcentral describes it as "partial 23S ribosomal RNA". It matches the Rfam family "Bacterial large subunit ribosomal RNA", at positions 1 to 290 of the family's 2925-position model. Lineage: Bacteria; Pseudomonadati; Pseudomonadota; Gammaproteobacteria; Enterobacterales; Enterobacteriaceae. The record is from RNAcentral. RNAcentral also lists the same sequence under 2 other names.